UCCCGCGUCCGUCCACCGCGCCGAUGCCUUCUGCUCCUCCUCCUCCUCACACUCCACUCGCCGCGCCGACCGCCGCCGUCUCCGUCACCUGCUCCUACCGGGAGGACGAUGACGGCGCCGCCUCGUGGUCGCUCUCCUCCGGCGCACGCUCCUCCUCGCUGCCGUCGUCGUCGCGGGGGCGCCGCCCGCCGCCGUACCGGCGGCUCCUCCACGACGAGGCGCGGCGCCUCCGCCAGGAGCGCCGCGGCCAGGGCGCCGGCGCCGAAACGCCCCGGUGGGUGCGCCGCACCGAGGGCCAGAUGGCCCGGUACGUCGAGGACGACCGCGCCGGCCACGUCCACGGCCGCCACGUCGUCGCCGCGGCCCGCGCCGCACGCGCCACCGCGUCCCGCCCGCCCGCCGGCGGGUCCACCAUGCGAGAGGCCAUGGCCUCCUUCGUCGCCAAGCUCACCUUCCGCGAGAUGUGCGUCGUCCUCCGCGAGCAGCGCGGGUGGCGCCAGGCCCACGAUUUCUUCUCGUGGAUGAAGCUCCAGCUGUGCUACGAGCCCAGCGUGGUCGCCUACACCAUCCUCCUCAGGGCGUAUGGCAACGCCAGCAAGAUCGAGCUCGCCGAGGAGGCGUUCCUGGAGAUGCUCGAGGCCGGCGUGGAGCCGGACGCGGUGGCGUGCGGCACCCUGCUGUGCGUGUACGCGCGCCGGGGGAGGCACGGCGACAUGAUGCUCUUCUACGCCGCGACGCGCAGGCGCGGCGUGGCACCGCCCGUCUCCGCCUUCAACUUCAUGCUCUCCUCCCUGCAGAAGCACAGGCUCCACGGCAAGGUGAUCCACCUCUGGAAACACAUGAUGGAAAUGGAAGAAGCCAACAAUGUGGUGCCAAAUCACUUCACAUACACAGUUGUGAUCGGCUCAUUUGUCAAGGCGGGUCUCCUGGAGGAGGCCAUGGAUGUCCUGGGGAAGAUGAGGGCCUCCCGACUCGUCCCGGAGGAGGCGACUUACAGUUGCCUGAUCAGCUUGAGUUCCAGGCAUGGCAGAGGGGAGCAGGUUGUGAUGCUCUAUGAGGAGAUGAGGGCUCAUGGCAUUGUCCCCAGCAACUACACCUGUGCAUCCCUCCUGGCACUCUAUGACAAGAGUGAGGACUACUCGAAGGCGCUCUCGCUCUUCUCAGAGAUGGAGCGAAGCAGGGUUGUCAUUGAUGAGGUCAUCUAUGGGAUCCUCAUUAGGAUCUAUGGUAAGAUCGGGCUCUACGACGAUGCGCAGCGCACUUUCGAGGAAAUCGUCAGUGCGGGUCUUCUGAGUGAUGAACAGACUUAUGUGGCAAUGGCUCAGGUUCACAUGAAUGCUCGCAACUAUGAUAAGGCGUUGCAGGUUUUGGGUUUGAUGAGGUCGAGGAAUGUGAAGCCUUCAAAGUUCUCUUACGGCGCUCUUCUUCGAUGUCAUGUCGCGAGGGAAGACAUAGCUGCAGCAGAAGAUGUCUUCAGAGCUCUGUGCAAAUAUGGCCUCCCUGAUGUGUUCUGCUGCAAUGACCUACUGAGAUUAUAUGUCAAGCUGGGCCAGCUAGAGAAGGCAAGUGCAUUCAUUCUGAAGAUGAGAAAAGAAGAUAUCCAGCUUGAUGAGGCCCUCUGCAUGACUGUAAUGGAAGUUUGCUGCAAAAGCGGGAUGAUCACCGAUGCGGAUAAGAUACUGAAAGAGAUGAACAAUGGUGGAGUGACCAUGAAGAGUUCAACAAUGGUUUCUAUUAUAGAGAUGUAUGCUAGAAACAGAACUAGUGUGAUGCAGGAACAAGAUAGUUCGUCGAAGGCACUAGCCUGUCAGACCGACAGUUCGGCACUGAACGCGACGUUAAAGUCAUUGUUGGACACACCUGGGGGUUCGUCCAUCGCGUGCCAAUUGAUCAGAAAAUUGGCUAGGGAAGGGAGGACAUGUGAGGCAAAAUUCCUUCAUGAACAGCUGACUCAGUUGGGAGUCAAGCCUGAAGAUUCUGCAACAUCUACUCUCAUUGUCCAAUAUGGCCAGGAACAGAAGUUACAUCAAGCAGAGGAACUGUUUGAGUCGGCAUCGACAUCGUUUCCAAUACGAGGGCCUGUCUACAAUGCCAUGGUCGACGCAUUAUGCAAGUGCGGCAAUAUCGGAGAGGCGUAUCAUCUCUUUAUGAAAAUGGCUGAUCAAGGCCAUAGCAGAGAUGUUGUGACAAUUAGCAUACUUGUCACUCACCUGACCAAACAUGGAAAGUUUCAGGAGGUGGAGAACAUCAUGCAUGGCUGCUUCCAUGGUGAAGUUGAGCUUGAUACUGUUGCGUAUAAUACAUUUAUCAAGUCGAUGCUCGAGUCAGGCAAACUAUACUCAGCUGUCAACAUAUAUGAUCGCAUGAUAUCCACUGGGGUUCCUCGGUCCUUGCAGACUUUCAAUAUAAUGAUAAGUGUUUAUGGCCUAGGAGGAAAGCUGGACAAGGCUGCUGAAAUGUUUGCUGCUGCACAGGAGCUAGGCUUACUGAUCGACGAGAAGAUAUACACCAACAUGCUUAACUUCUAUGGAAAGGCUGGGAGGCAUCAGGAGGCGUCUUCACUAUUCGAUAGAAUGAAGGAACUUGGUAUCAUGCCUGGAAAGAUCAGUUGCAACUCCAUGAUCAAUGCCUACGCCACUGCCAGGCUGCAUGAUGAAGCAGAGAUUGUUUUCCAGGAGAUGCAAUCACACGGUCAAGUUCCCGACUCGACGACGUACCUUGCAUUGAUCAGAUCAUACUCAGAAAGUAGAUGCUACUCCAAAGCUGAGAAAGCCAUCCAGAUGAUGUUGACCAGCGGCAUAACCCCUUCAUGCCCUCAUUUUAGCCACCUCAUUUUUGCCUUUCUGAAGGCAGACCAGAUUGAUGAAGCCCAGAGGAUCUGCAGCCAGAUGCAGGAGAUUGGCGUGGCUGUUGAUUUAGCAUGUUGCCGGGCAAUGAUGAGGGCGUACCUUGAGCACGGUCGCGUCGACGAGGGCAUAUCGCUCUUCGAGACAACACGCGGGUCACUGAAACCUGACAGCUUCAUCCUGAGUGCUGCAUUUCAUCUCUAUGAGCAUUCAGGCAGCGAGCCUGAAGCUGGGGAUGUGCUGGAAGCCAUCGGUCUACAUGGUGCCUCUUUUUUGAGAAGUCUAAAGGUUGGAUCAAAGUUGGAACCAACUUAAUAACGACCAUAUCAUGUGCCCAUCAAGCUAGCAACCAUCACAGCAUUUAACAUGUUGCAAAGAAUGAAGACUUAACAGUUCGCCGCCUGAAGCUUUAAGGUGUAUUUUCAACAGCAAAGGAGGAGAAAUAACAAAGCUCAGUAUCCAAGGAAGGAAGAAGCAGCAUCUCAAGUCUGGCAAAGCAAAAGCUCUUAGGCGGAAACUGCGAAAGUUUUGAGAAACAACUUUAACUUUAUCAUCAUUUCCGUAAAUUUUCCAGUAGCAAAUGCACUACAGCUAUAUUGGCAAGGAAUGAAGUCCCAGGUCCUAUCAACCGGGGGAAACUGAUUCUUUGGCCAAUUAUAGAUACCCUGGUCAAUGCUUGUAGCUACCAGAAAAGGACCAUAGGCCCAUGUUAGAUUAACAAAUAAUCAAGAAAAGGGUUUACAAAGACAAACCCAUAAAAUUUCGUCACUGACGGCAAUUCCUAGGGCUCAAGUGCUUAACCCUAUACAAGUAGUAGAAAAUUAAAGAAGAAUAAGAUAUGCAUUGAGCACAACUAAUCAGAAAAUAAAUGACUUCCCAUUCACAGGAUAACAGCACUGUGUCAGAAAGUGUGCUAAGAUUGUUUCAAGGUGAAAAAUCCAUUAAAAAUAGAAGAGAUUGCAAAAGCACAGCAACGACUGCAAUGUCCUUUCAGGCUUGUUUGUCCUCAUCGCAACAAUCUUCUCCAGGAAAAACAAAAGCAAAAAGACAUAAAAGAUACAAAGAUAACAAAACAAAGUCAUAAAAUUUUACCAGUCGUCAAUGCCAUCAGCACAAAACAAAGAAAAAAGACCGUUCUCUGUAUUAAAAAAACAUUGAACUUCGAAGAUGUAGAGAAAGAAAAAAGACCGUUCUAUGUAUUAAAAAAACAUUGAACUUCGAAGAUGUACAGAAGUAAACUAGAACUAAAAAAAGCAGAUGGAUCUCAAAAGAGCCAUCAGCGCAAAAAUUAAAUGACGCCAAUCCAAAGGUCAGUCCAGAAGUGUUCAAAUCGGCACACAGUAUCAGCAACAAGUGCUAAAACAACUGGCUUGCACAAAGUAUAAGCUUGAUUGCUACAAGCAGCAUAAUCCACUGGAUGAUUUAGAUUAAUAUAUUACUUAGACGUGACGUGACCCAUAAUCCACUGAUGUUCCACGAAUGUUUACUCCACGGAAUAACCCUGACCACUCGGACCAAAA
Aegilops tauschii subsp. strangulata is the source of this 4366-nucleotide RNA transcript. It is a transcript of the gene named pentatricopeptide repeat-containing protein At5g27270, with no coding region annotated. The record is from RefSeq and is a predicted model, not a curated record. Lineage: Eukaryota; Viridiplantae; Streptophyta; Magnoliopsida; Poales; Poaceae.